Molecule: small nuclear RNA, 104 nt
Organism: Otolemur garnettii (small-eared galago)
Lineage: Eukaryota; Metazoa; Chordata; Mammalia; Primates; Galagidae
Source: Ensembl
GUGGUCACUUCAGCAGCACAUAUACUAAAAUUGGAAUGAUACAGAGAUUAGCAGGGCCCCUGCGCAAGGAUAACAUGCAAAUUCCUGAAACGUUCCCUAUUUAA